Cucurbita maxima (winter squash) is the source of this 1196-nucleotide long non-coding RNA. RefSeq lists it as uncharacterized. NCBI's taxonomy places the organism in Eukaryota, Viridiplantae, Streptophyta, Magnoliopsida, Cucurbitales, Cucurbitaceae. The transcript has 3 exons. The record is from RefSeq and is a predicted model, not a curated record.
UAACCGACAGACAACCAUAUUUGGCUCAAAAAUUUCAGAAUUUGAAGCUACAGUGCAGACAAGACCAACUAUGAGACCAAUGGCCACUUCACAUUGUCUGAGAACUUUCUCAUGGGAAGUUUUCAGCCGUUAAUGACUUAAAUCUCGACAUGAUCUAAUCAUAAAAUCAUGAAAAAGAUGCUCUCUUUGUAUCAAAUUUUGAACUUUUUAAAGUUUUUGAUUUUCUAAUAAUUGUACUGAAUUUACCUUGUCUGAACUGUUGAAAUAGGAACUUUCCACAACUUUCAGAUAAAUGGCAAGAACUUGUUUUCCAGUGACCUGCAAAAAAGCAGGAUCUUCAUGAUUACAAACAGGAUUUUCAGAGGCAAUGAUGGAGUGAAUUAUCAGUGCAACAUUGUUACUUACUUUGUCAAACUUCUUCAAAAUCUUUAUGAAGGCAAGCUUGUUCAACUGCCUGAAGAAUGAUCUCAAUGAUCAAAGAGACAUUAAAAAUAACGAAACUUCAACAAUCUGUUCUUCAUUAUUACCUGAACUUGGCAGCCGAAACUUUUGGUUGCAUUUGAAACAAGUUGAUGAAUUACCACAAGAAAUUGUAGAGGAGAUGGAGCCAUCCUCCUUGGAAUCCGGCAUGAUAUCUCUGGUCUGGUGCCGGUGCUGGAUCGCCGUCUUCAGGUCAAUGAGAAUCUCCAGUUGUUUCUUCAAGCUUUCUCCCAACUCCAUGAACUCUGUCUCCUUUGUCUUGAAGAAUUGAUUCACCUUAUUCAGCUGGAAAUCCAAACAUGAAAAGAAUUCCUUUGCUGCAGCUGUAUCAGCAAAUUGUUCCAGCAGCUCUGUUUCGUACAUGUCUCCGUUGCUAACAGAGGAAGCAAGUUUCUUAUGAACCUGUUGGAAAAAGAUUUCAAGUUCAUGUUAUAUUUUACUACACACACAAAUACACAAUCAUGCAAAAUGGGGGAAAAAACUGUGGGAAGUUGUCAGAAAAAGAGUACAUGAAUAGGUCCAUGAUCUCUGCGUUGGUGACCAAAUAUAGAGAAAUUCUUUAUAGAAGACAAGACAGUACUCGCAACCGUGCCGGUGGCGGCGGAAGAGUCGGUCUUGUUAUCAGUUUUAAGAAGAUAGAGUUUCUUGAGGUAGCAGAGCAGAGUCGGAGAGAGGGAAGAGAAGGGAUGAUGUUGAAGAAGAAGAAGAAAAAGAAG